UGGGGAAUAUUGGACAAUGGGCGCAAGCCUGAUCCAGCCAUGCCGCGUGAGUGAUGAAGGCCCUAGGGUUGUAAAGCUCUUUCACCGGUGAAGAUAAUGACGGUAACCGGAGAAGAAGCCCCGGCUAACUCCGUGCCAGCAGCCGCGGUAAUACGAAGGGGGUUAGCGUUGUUCGGAUUUACUGGGCGUAAAGCGCACGUAGGCGGACUUUUAAGUCAGGGGUAAAAUCCCGGGGCUCAACCCCGGAACUGCCUUUGAUACUGGAAGUCUUGAGUAUGGAAGAGGUGAAUCGAAUUCCGGGUGUAGAGGUAAGAUUCGUAGAUAUUCGGAGGAACACCAGUGGAAAAGGCGGCUCACUGGUACAUUACAAACGCUGAGGUGCAAAAGCGUGGAGAGCGAACCGG
RNAcentral lists this ribosomal RNA (404 nucleotides) under Actinomycetes bacterium. Its description in RNAcentral is "Actinobacteria bacterium partial 16S ribosomal RNA". It matches the Rfam family "Bacterial small subunit ribosomal RNA", at positions 355 to 776 of the family's 1533-position model. The record is from RNAcentral. Lineage: Bacteria; Bacillati; Actinomycetota; Actinomycetes.